AGGAUAACUUUUCUUAUGAUAAAAUACUAUCUACUCUUAUAAUAAAUAAAACCUCAUUUGUAAACUCCCACAUGUCAUGUAUUUAAUUUAUACUUAUCACAACCAUAUAAAAUCGUAUCUAUCAACUUUUACAGAAAAUGGUUUACUUUAAAGAAAAUACAUAUCAAGCCAAUAUAUAAUAGUUCUGAAAUUCUUCAAACUUAUAGGGUCUUACAUCCCUAUCUUCAUGUAUAACCUUAAUCCUUUCCAACUCAUAUGUUAUUACUUCGACGAAUCCUAAUGUUAAAGUACGGGACGUAACAUCCUCCCCCCUUUAGAACAUUCGUCAAUGUUAACUCUUAGAAAUUUACGAAAUUUUUCACUAGAGUCUCUUCUAUAAAUUAACCCAACCUUUAUCUAAAAUCUAGACUAUUCACAACUUGUUGUACUUGAGUAUGUCGUAUCUUUUUCACCUUUACCUUACUUACUUUUCUAUCUCCCAUCAUAUCUUCUGUUUCUUUCAUAACCUCCCUUCCACAUAAGUAGAAAUUACAUCUACGCCUUAAAGCUCUAUUGUGAUAGCACCUCUAGUGCAUACAAAAUUUGGUGGAAACUUUAAACUAGUUUCUUACGACUCAGCUCUAUUGCACGAUCUUGAAACAAAAGAAGGGUAACAUUUCCUAAAUACCCUAUAGCCCCUCAAUUAUAAAUGUGGAGUGCAACACACCCGUAAGUGAAAAUCUACCAGGCACGGCUUUAUAGACUCCCUAGGACACGACCUGCUCUGAUACCACUUUGUCACGCCCCGAGCCUGGGGAGGCGUGGCUGGCAACCGGUGCCGUAGUGGCCCGAGCGAAUCACUCUAUAACUCAUUCAUUCUUUUCAUAACUAUCAUGGGCCAACAUGGCCACAACUCGUAAUGUACAAUUGUCGGUGGGAAAAUGUUAUAUCAAUGAACCAUCGUUCAUAAAAACGUUAAUACAUCUGGGCCAUCAAGGCAUCUGACAUAUUGUACAUAAUAAACCUGUGUCUACAAAGCCUUUAAGAUUUUUUAAAAGCAAAUUGGACAGGGUACCGCCCUACCAUAAGUAUGUAAUAAAACUCUGAAAUGAUGACUCAUAGACUCGGAUGUACUCCGAAUGAGGUGGAGUUUUACCGAUUCUUCGCUGAAUGCCAAUCUCGUGUACUAUGAGGGUCCGUCAAACUGAUUGUCUAUACCUGCAGGCAUGAAUGCAACGCCAACAAAAGGGCGUCAGUACGAAUAAUGUACCAAGUAUGUAAGGCAGAACUCAAAUCACAGAACAUGAACACAUCAUAACGAUCAUGAGAAAGCUUGGCAAGGAUUUGGAGCUUUUUAUUUCUAAGUCAUUUAAUUUUUCAGUCCAAGAGUAUUUACUUGGUCAUAUACAAGUUUUGCCACAAUGUUUUAUUAAUAAUCAUCCAGCCCAGUGAUCCUAAUGCCAGUGGGAAUAACAAAAUAAUUAUAAAACAUGGAAUUCAAUUGCAUCGCAUAAUAAAAGACUAAAAGAGAUCUUAAGAGCUAGAUAAUAAUUUUUGGUUACAAAUUGGAGAUGGCAAUAUCAUGUGUAACUAUCAUGUGUAACUUCCUUCAGAUGGAUCAAUCCCUCUUUACCAAAUGGGAUGUCCAAAUAGCCCUUUUAUUUUUCAUCUCACGAGUUUUUAUGAAUAACUAGUUAAGGAAUAAAGCAUAGUUUGGUUUAUCAAUUGACAGUUUCGAAGUUUCAUCAACAUUUUAUAUGGCAUAUUCAGAGCAUUAAUUGAUUAAAGGCAAAGCAGCAAAUUUUCAUAAACAAUCGUAUAACGUCGGAUAGCUAGCUUCUGCAAGGAGUAACGAGUUCAAUGUCAAUUUAAACUGUAAAUCCGGAUAGCUCCGUAAAUCAUGAAAUAUUUAUAAUGUCAUGCAUAUGCGUGUGAAUGUCAUGUCGUGCAUAAGUACAUAUUUCAUAACAUCAUCAAGCCUCUGAGGGCAUCCCAUCAUAUCAUUUCAGCAACUGUGAGCAAUAUCAUCAGCGUAUACAAGUUGAUCAGGCGGUGGUGCAUAUAUAACGCCAUGACCUUUUCUAGUAUAUAUACACACACACACAUAUAUACGUAUAUAACGCCGUCUGCGUCAUAUUUCAGCCACUGUGGGCAACAUCAUCAUCGUAUACCAGCUGAUCAGGUGGUGGUGCGUAUAUAACGCAAUAACCUUUUCCAAUAUCCCAUAUAUAUAUAUAUAUACGCGUAUAUAACGCCAUCUGGUCAUGGGUCAAAUGCACAUGUAUAAAUGAGUGAAAUGCAUGAAAAAUACGUAAUAAUCUCAAUAUUCCUUCCGGAUAAACUUUUCCAACUGCAUAUUAUUCUGAAACCCACGAACAAAGGAUAGUAAUAAUUCUCAUGGGGAAUCAAGAAUAUUGACACCUCUACUAUUUCUAUGAAUAGAGUAAUUUAUGGAAACUGUGUGUUUGUUCGUUUUUUAGUAUAAUUUGAACUAUACCAAAAGAAAGAAGGGAAAACCUUAACAUACCUGGCCACAAACUGAUUGGCUUUGUAAUUGACGAAGCUGCAUCAAUGGUAUCUAGUACGGUUGCCACAACUGGGACUGCAUCAACAUUUUAUCCAACUCGAUUCUCAACCAUUUGACUAUGAGGGAUCAAUCCUUCCACUAUGAACUUCAAUCUACAAGAAACUUUACUAGUGCAACCAAAGAACUCUUCACUUGAAUCAGUUCGACGAACUCCUUCAAUUCCUAUGUUCUUGAAGAUGGAAAGCAAGAGAGAACGUUUUGGAGCUCCUAUGGUCUGCUCUUGAAAUUAAAGUGAGAUAAAAUGACGAUAGAAUCGACUUGGGGACUUAUAUGUAGGCACACUUAGAUGUUCCACAUUCCGCAUGCACUUGUAUUAAGGCAAAAUUUUGCCACGUUAUGUUCUUUCUAAAAUAUUUUGGAUAAUUACCAAUUACUCGUAUAAUUAAUUAUUAUCUUAAAUUACUUAAAAUUCUACUUAUUUUUUAUACACUUUAUACACUGUACUAUUAUGGUCAUGUGGUACCAUUUAAAAUAAAUUCAUACACUAUUAUUUCAUUAAAACAUCCAUGUAAAAAUAUAUAUAUUUUCUCAACUUUUAAUUUUUCAAAUCUCAUAUAAAGAGUAAAAAAUUUCGUAUGCUUAAUUCUUAAAAUGGUAAAAAGGUAUAUUUCUUUUCUUGUGAGAAAAUAAUUAAUAUAUUUACAAUAAAGAAAUUGUUUUUGUACUACAAAUUCUCAAAACGGAAAAAGGAUAACUUUUCUUAUGAUAAAAUACUAUCUACUCUUAUAAUAAAUAAAACCUCAUUUGUACACUCCCACAUGUCAUGUAUUUAAUUUAUACUUAUCACAACCAUAUAAAAUCGUAUUUAUCAACUUUUACCGAAAAUGGUUUACUUUAAAGAAAAUACAUAUCAAGCCAAUAUAUAGUAGUUCUGAAAUUCUUCAAACUUACAGGGUCUUACAUCCCCAUCUUCAUGUAUAACCUUUACCCUUCCGAAUCAUAUGUUAUUACUUCGACGAAUCCUAACAUUAAUGUACGUGACGUAACAUCCUCCCCCCUUUAGAACAUUCGUCCUUGAAUGUUAACUCUUAGAGAUUUACGGAAAUUUUCACUAGUCUCUUCUGUAAAUUAACCCAACCUCUAUAUGAAGUCUGGACUAUUCACAACUUGUUGCAUUUGAGUAUGCCAUAUAUUUUCACCUUUACCUUACUUAGUUUUCUAUCUACCAUCAUAUCUUCUGUUUCUUUCAUAACCUCCCUUCCACGUAAGUAGAAAUUACAUCUACGUCUUAAAGCUCUAUUGUGAUAGCACCUCUAGUCCAUACAAAAUUCGGUGGAAACUUUAUACUGGCUUCUUACGACUCAGCUCUAUGGCACGAUCUUGAAACAAAAGAAGGGUAAUAUUUCCUAAAUGCCCUAUAGCCUCUCAAUUAUAAAUGUGGCGCGCAACACACCCAUAAGUGAGAUUCUACAAGGCACGAUUUUGUAAACUCCCUAGGACACGACCCGCUGUGAUACCACUUUGUCACGCCCCGAACCUGGGAAGACGUGGCUGGCCCCCGGUGCCGUAGUGGCCCGAGCGAAUCACUCUGUAACUCAUUCAUUCCUUUCGUAACUAUCAUGGGCCAACAUGGCCAUAACUCGUAAUGUACAAUUAUAGGUGGGAAAAUGUUAUAUCAAUGAACUAUCGUUCAUAAAAACAUGAAUACAUAUGGGCCGUCAAGGCCUCUGACAUACGGUAGAUAAAAAAACCUGUGUCUACAAAGCCUUUAAGAUUGUUUAACAUCAAAUUGGGCAGGGUACCGGCCUACCCAUAAGUAUGUAAUAAAACUCUGACAUGAUGACUCAUAGACUCGGAUGCACUCCGAAUGAGGUGGAGUCUUGCCGAUUCUUCUCUGAAUACCAAUCUUGUCUACUAUGAGGGUCCGUCAAAAUGAUUGUCUAUGCUGACUGAGUCCCUAACAAAAGGGCGUCAGUACGAAUAAUGUACUGAGUAUGUAAGGUGGAACUCAAAUCACAAAACAUUAACACAUCAUAACUAUCAUGAGAAAGCUUGGCAAAGAUUUCGAGCUUUUUAUUUCUAAGUCAUUUAAUUUUUCAGUCCAAGAGUAUUUACUUGGUCACAUACAAGUUUUGCCACAACUGGUUUUCCUAAUAAUCAUCUAAAAGUUGUAGACAUGUAUUUAGUCCAGCUCAGUUACCCUAAUGCCAAUGGGCAUAAUAGUAUAAUUAUAAAACUUGGAAUUCAAUUGCGUCGCAUAAUAAAAGACUAAACGAGAUCUUAAGAGUUGGAUAAUAAUUUUUUAUUACAAAUUGGAGAUGGCAAUAUCUUGUGUAACUUCCUUCAGAUGGAUCAAUCCCUCUUUACCAAAUGGGAUGUUCAAAUAGCCCUUUUAUUUUUCAUCCUACGAGUUUUUAUGAUUAACUAGUUAGGGAAUAAAGCGUAGUUUGAUUUAUCAAUUGACAGUUUCGAAGUUUCGUCAACAUUUUAUAUGGCAUAUUCACAUUUAUUGAUUAAAGGCAAAGCAGCAAAUUUGCAUAAAAAAUUGUAUAACGUCGGAUAGCUAGCUUCUGCAAGGAGUAAUAAGUUCAAUGUCAAUUUAACCUGUAAAUCUGGAUAGCCCCGUAAAUCAUGAAAUAUUUAUAAUGUCAUGCAUAUGCGUGUGAAUGUCAUGUUGUGCAUAGGUACAUAUUUCAUAACAUCAUCAAGCCUCUGAGGGCAUCCCAUCAUAUCAUUUCAGCCACUGUGCGCAAUAUCAUCAUCGUAUACCAGCUAAUCAGAUCGUGGUGCGUAUAUAACGCCAUGACCUUUUCCCAUAUCCCAUAUACAUAUAUAUGCACAUGUAUAAAUGAGUUAUAUAUAACACCAUCUGGUCAUGGGUCAAUGCACAUGUAUAAAUGAGUUAAAUGCAUGAAAAAUAUAUAAUAAUCUCAAUAUUCCUUCUGGAUAAACUUUUCCAACUGCGUAUUAUUCUGAGACCUAUGAACAGAGGAUACUAAUAAUCAAGAAUAUAGACACUCCUACUAUUUCUAUGAAUAGAGUAAUUUACGGAAACUGUGUAUUUGCUCAUUUUUUUAGUAUAAUUUCGACCAUGCCAAAAGAAAGAAGGGAGAGCCUUAACAUACCUGGCCACAAACUGAUUGGCUUUGUAAUUGACGAACCUGCAACAAUAGUAUCUAGUGUGGUUGCCACAAUUGGGACUGCAUCAACAUUUUAUCCAACUCGAUUGUCAACCAUUUGACUAUGAGGGAUCAAUCCUUCCACUAUGAACUUCGAUCCACAAGAAACUUUACUAGUGCAACCAAAGAACUCUUUACUUGAAUCAGUUCGACGAACUCCUUCAAUUUCCUAUGUUCUUGAAGAUGGAAAGCAAGAGAGAACAUUUUGGAGGUCCUAUGGUCUGGUCUUG
This 5915-nucleotide long non-coding RNA is filed under the name Nicotiana tabacum (common tobacco). RNAcentral's name for it is "long non-coding RNA (NTAB_LNC002987)". The record is from RNAcentral. Lineage: Eukaryota; Viridiplantae; Streptophyta; Magnoliopsida; Solanales; Solanaceae.